UACGUAGGGUGCGAGCGUUAAUCGGAAUUACUGGGCGUAAAGCGUGCGCAGGCGGUUUUGUAAGUCAGAUGUGAAAUCCCCGAGCUCAACUUGGGAACUGCGUUUGAAACUACAAGACUAGAGUAGGUCAGAGGGGGGUAGAAUUCCACGUGUAGCAGUGAAAUGCGUAGAGAUGUGGAGGAAUACCAAUGGCGAAGGCAGCCCCCUGGGAUCAUACUGACGCCCAUGCACGAAAGCGUGGGGAGCAAACAGG
This 253-nucleotide ribosomal RNA is filed under the name uncultured bacterium. Its description in RNAcentral is "partial 16S ribosomal RNA". It matches the Rfam family "Bacterial small subunit ribosomal RNA", at positions 524 to 776 of the family's 1533-position model. The record is from RNAcentral.